GAUGAAGAACGUAGCGAAAUGCGAUAAGUAAUGUGAAUUGCAGAAUUCAGUGAAUCAUCGAAUCUUUGAACGCACAUUGCGCCCCUUGGUAUCCCGAGGGGCAUGCCUGUUCGAGCGUCAUUUCACCACUCAAGCCUGGCUUGGUGUUGGGCGACGUCCCCUUUGGGGACGCGCCUCGAAACGCUCGGCGGCGUGGCACCGGCUUUAAGCGUAGCAGAAUCUUUCGCUUUGGAAGUCGGGGCCCCGUCUGCCGGAAGACCUACUCGCAAGGUUGACCUCGGAUCAGGCAGGGAUACCCGCUGAACUUAAGCAUAUCAAUAAGCGGAGGA
Molecule: unclassified non-coding RNA, 329 nt
Filed under: soil metagenome
Description: partial contains 5.8S ribosomal RNA, internal transcribed spacer 2, and large subunit ribosomal RNA
Rfam family: 5.8S ribosomal RNA (bases 1-120)
Source: RNAcentral